Molecule: ribosomal RNA, 116 nt
Organism: Danio rerio (zebrafish)
Lineage: Eukaryota; Metazoa; Chordata; Actinopteri; Cypriniformes; Danionidae
Source: Ensembl
UCCAAAGCCUAUAUCACCCUGCAGCCCAAGACCGUUACUCACUGAAGCUAAGCAGGGCUGUGCCUGGUCAGUACCUGGAUGGGAGACCACAUGGGAAAACUAGGUUGCUGUUAGAA